UGGGGAAUUUUGCACAAUGGGGGAAACCCUGAUGCAGCGACGCCGCGUGAUUUAGAAGGCCUUCGGGUUGUAAAAAUCUUUUCUAUGGGAAGAAAAUGACAGUACCAUAGGAAUAAGGACCGGCUAAUUACGUGCCAGCAGCCGCGGUAAUACGUAAGGUCCGAGCGUUGUCCGGAAUCAUUGGGCGUAAAGGGUACGUAGGCCGGUAAGCAAGUUAGAAGUGAAAUCCUAUAGCUCAACUAUAGUAAGCUUUUAAAACUGCUCAUCUUGAGGUAUGGAAGGGAAAGUGGAAUUCCUAGUGUAGCGGUGAAAUGCGCAGAUAUUAGGAGGAAUACCGGUGGCGAAGGCGACUUUCUGGCCAUAACCUGACGCUGAGGUACGAAAGCGUGGGUAGCAAACAGG
This 402-nucleotide ribosomal RNA is filed under the name bacterium. RNAcentral describes it as "partial 16S ribosomal RNA". It matches the Rfam family "Bacterial small subunit ribosomal RNA", at positions 355 to 776 of the family's 1533-position model. The record is from RNAcentral.